Molecule: ribosomal RNA, 74 nt
Filed under: Exophiala nagquensis
Lineage: Eukaryota; Fungi; Ascomycota; Eurotiomycetes; Chaetothyriales; Herpotrichiellaceae
Description: partial large subunit ribosomal RNA
Source: RNAcentral
UUGGACCCCCGGUACACUGAGUUCUUCACGGGACACGUACUGGAGUAAGGGUGCGCGGGGCACGGUCUGCCUCC